Molecule: non-coding RNA, 118 nt
Organism: Candidatus Stoquefichus sp. KLE1796
Lineage: Bacteria; Bacillati; Bacillota; Erysipelotrichia; Erysipelotrichales; Erysipelotrichaceae
Source: Rfam
AGUGGAAAGAAGAAGUGCCUGCUUCUCGCCUGAGUGUCUAUAACGCUAGGCAAAUGUCACUAAGAUACUUAUCUUAAUGUCAAUGUGGGUACUUAUGUGCUCACUUUUUAUUUGUACU